AUUGAACGCUGGCGGCAGGCUUAACACAUGCGAGUCGAGCGGGGUGAUGGUGCUUGCACUAUCGCUUAGCGGCGGACGGGUGAGUAAUGCUUAGGAAUCUGCCUAUUAGUGGGGGACAACAUCUCGAAAGGGAUGCUAAUACCGCAUACGUCCUACGGGAGAAAGCAGGGGAUCACUUGUGACCUUGCGCUAAUAGAUGAGCCUAAAUCGGAUUAGCUAGUUGGUGGGGUAAAGGCCUACCAAGGCGACGAUCUGUAGCGGGUCUGAGAGGAUGAUCCGCCACACUGGGACUGGGACACGGCCCAGAGUCCUACGGGAGGCAGCAGUGGGGAAUAUUGGACAAUGGGGGGAACCCUGAUCCAGCCAUGCCGCGUGUGUGAAGAAGGCCUUAUGGUUGUAAAGCACUUUAAGCGAGGAGGAGGCUCUUUUGGUUAAUACCCAAGAUGAGUGGACGUUACUCGCAGAAUAAGCACCGGCUAACUCUGUGCCAGCAGCCGCAGUAA
Molecule: ribosomal RNA, 503 nt
Filed under: uncultured bacterium
Lineage: Bacteria
Description: partial 16S ribosomal RNA
Rfam family: Bacterial small subunit ribosomal RNA
Source: RNAcentral